CCAUGCCGCGUGUGUGAAGAAGGCCUUUUGGUUGUAAAGCACUUUAAGCGAGGAGGAGGCUACUUAGAUUAAUACUCUAGGAUAGUGGACGUUACUCGCAGAAUAAGCACCGGCUAACUCUGUGCCAGCAGCCGCGGUAAUACAGAGGGUGCGAGCGUUAAUCGGAUUUACUGGGCGUAAAGCGUGCGUAGGCGGCUUUUUAAGUCGGAUGUGAAAUCCCUGAGCUUAACUUAGGAAUUGCAUUCGAUACUGGGAAGCUAGAGUAUGGGAGAGGAUGGUAGAAUUCCAGGUGUAGCGGUGAAAUGCGUAGAGAUCUGGAGGAAUACCGAUGGCGAAGGCAGCCAUCUGGCCUAAUACUGACGCUGAGGUACGAAAGCAUGGGGAGCAAACAGGAUUAGAUACCCUGGUAGUCCAUGCCGUAAACGAUGUCUACUAGCCGUUGGGGCCUUUGAGGCUUUAGUGGCGCAGCUAACGCGAUAAGUAGACCGCCUGGGGAGUACGGUCGCAAGACUAAAACUCAAAUGAAUUGACGGGGGCCCGCACAAGCGGUGGAGCAUGUGGUUUAAUUCGAUGCAACGCGAAGAACCUUACCUGGUCUUGACAUAGUAAGAACUUUCCAGAGAUGGAUUGGUGCCUUCGGGAACUUACAUACAGGUGCUGCAUGGCUGUCGUCAGCUCGUGUCGUGAGAUGUUGGGUUAAGUCCCGCAACGAGCGCAACCCUUUUCCUUAUUUGCCAGCGGGUUAAGCCGGGAACUUUAAGGAUACUGCCAGUGACAAACUGGAGGAAGGCGGGGACGACGUCAAGUCAUCAUGGCCCUUACGACCAGGGCUACACACGUGCUACAAUGGUCGGUACAAAGGGUUGCUACCUAGCGAUAGGAUGCUAAUCUCAAAAAGCCGAUCGUAGUCCGGAUUGGAGUCUGCAACUCGACUCCAUGAAGUCGGAAUCGCUAGUAAUCGCGGAUCAGAAUGCCGCGG
Molecule: ribosomal RNA, 979 nt
Filed under: Acinetobacter sp. 31 DOGU
Lineage: Bacteria; Pseudomonadati; Pseudomonadota; Gammaproteobacteria; Moraxellales; Moraxellaceae
Description: bacterial SSU rRNA
Rfam family: Bacterial small subunit ribosomal RNA
Source: RNAcentral